CCAAAACGGGGUGGGGGUGGGGGUGGGGGGUUGGUCUUUAAUUAUUCAAAUGCCCUGAAUCUGAGGCUGGAAGGAAUAGGGCAGAUUUGAGGUAGUGUGAAAAGGCCGUCUGUGAUGGACAUGUGUGCAGAGCCAGGAACAAAGCCAUUCCGUUAUUUUAAACAGCAGAUAAAAUGAGCUUUUUGAAGAGAACGGACAGGAGGAAGCUACAGGCUGCACAGAUCUGGGCUGGGAUCCCGCUUCCACCACUGGUAACAUUCUCUUGAGUUUGUUUAACUUCUCUGAGCUGUAGCUCCCUCUUCUGCAAGUUCAGGUCAUUACUUCUGUGAAGGAUUUCUGCCAAGCUUGAAAAAGAAAAUAGUUAAAAUAUUGUAUGGAAAAUUCAAACAGAAGACAGGUACAAGAAAGAGACCGUGAGCAAGGAUCCAGGUGUUGCUGAAACUAGAAUGGGCUGUUGUGGAAAUUAAAGGAGUUAGUGUUUGCGAAGAAGCCAGCAUGGUGCCUGGUGCAUAUAAAUGGAACACUGCGCUAAAUGAUCCCAACAACCGCAAACCAAGUGAAAACCUCUCUUGUCGUUGUGUGUAGCAGACACUAAUGGCCGUUUCCAAUCAUCUUCACCCUCUGGUCACCUAGCCCACAGCUGGAGAUGCUGAACUUCUCAGAACCUUGAAAACAAAACAACAACAACAACAACAACAGCAACAAAAACAAAGACUGACUGAUAGACGGAAAGAGUGGAAGAGUCUCAAUGCUGCUUCACUUGGUUUUAGAUACAGCGUAAAGAAAACAAUGGAAUGAAUCUAGUUUCUUUUCAUC
This is a long non-coding RNA of Panthera uncia (snow leopard), 816 nucleotides long. RefSeq lists it as uncharacterized. NCBI's taxonomy places the organism in Eukaryota, Metazoa, Chordata, Mammalia, Carnivora, Felidae. The record is from RefSeq and is a predicted model, not a curated record. The transcript is spliced from 7 exons.